RNAcentral lists this ribosomal RNA (253 nucleotides) under uncultured bacterium. Its description in RNAcentral is "partial 16S ribosomal RNA". It matches the Rfam family "Bacterial small subunit ribosomal RNA", at positions 524 to 776 of the family's 1533-position model. The record is from RNAcentral.
GACGUAGGGCGCGAGCGUUGUCCGGAUUUAUUGGGCGUAAAGAGCUCGUAGGCGGCUUGUCGCGUCGACCGUGAAAACUUGGGGCUCAACCCCAAGCCUGCGGUCGAUACGGGCAGGCUCGAGUUCGGUAGGGGAGACUGGAAUUCCUGGUGUAGCGGUGAAAUGCGCAGAUAUCAGGAAGAACACCCGUGGCUAAGGCGGCUCUCUAGUACGGUACUGACGCUGAGACGCGAAAGCGUGGGGAGCGAACAGG